UAAGUUUUCUGUUGAAGAGUCAAAAAAAGAAAAAAAAAAAAAGAAAAAAAGAGCUUUUGAACUCUGAUAGUGUGGUAGUGUGUCCAGUUUUCUCCUAGGAGAGAUGUCUCUAGAGAUAAGGUGUACACUUUACUCUGAAAGUGUAAAAAAAAAAAAGCUCCACUAAGUGGUAAUUGUGUCACAUUCACAUUCUACUGGAUAUAAAACUAAAAAGUCAGAUAUAGGUUACAUCAAGCCAGGAACAAAUUUGAAAAGACUUUAAACUCCCCAUUCACUUGGGUCUUUCUGAAAUAGUGCUGCAUUUUAUCUCCAGAUCUGCAAACCCUCCCAGCUGAGGAUGAAUUCAAUGAGCAGAACAUGGAAUAAAAAGAAGUCUAGUCUCCAUUUGGACAUCAUUUCAACAUUUUCAGGUGGAGAAAAAAACCAACAUGAGAGCCAACCUACAUGAUGGAAGAUAAAACCAGAUUUCUACAGGUUGUCAUGUCCCAUGAGGCAAAGUUGGAUGUAAAGUUCUCAGUUUAAGUCAAGUCUGUAAAGAUUAUCCCUCAAUCAAGAACAUCAUAUGUAGUAGCAUAAUAUUGACAUCUGGAUGCUAACUGGCACAGUGGCCCAGCAGCUUUUUUGUUUUUUCAUGACAGCAUGUGCUUGAUGUGUGGGAACAGUGGUGCCUGUUCCACAAUGCAUGGUGAGCCAGGAGCCAUUGUAGCAAGGUGAGUGGGAGUAUGGACCUCCUUCACAUGGGACCCAGGGGCAGCAAAUCAGGCUCAGACACAGUUCAAGGAUCACCCAGCAUGUUUAUAGCCAAAAGAUGGCUCAAGUAAAGCCAGAAAGUCAGAGCAGGAGAUCCAGGUCAGGAAAACAGGUAUAGGUGUGAAUGCAGCUCAUCAGUAGAUAUUUCUGAGGCUUUCUAUAGCUUUUGUCAGUUAGAUUUUUCUCUCAUGUUGUUUUAAUUUCAUGAUCACGCUCUUCAACCUGUUUUGCUUCCGAAGUUAAUACAUGAAAUUGUUCA
Molecule: long non-coding RNA, 1009 nt
Filed under: Cyanistes caeruleus (blue tit)
Lineage: Eukaryota; Metazoa; Chordata; Aves; Passeriformes; Paridae
Description: lncRNA (ENSCCEG00000012573.1)
Source: RNAcentral